GUCGCCAGGCUUCAAGCUCGCCGUUCACUCGUAAUGAAUAGGUCCGGAGUUCGAUUCUCCGAGGCGGCACCA
Molecule: transfer RNA, 72 nt
Filed under: Agrococcus pavilionensis RW1
Lineage: Bacteria; Bacillati; Actinomycetota; Actinomycetes; Micrococcales; Microbacteriaceae
Description: tRNA-Thr
Source: RNAcentral